CCUGGCGGCGAUAGCGCGGUGGUCCCACCUGACCCCAUGCCGAACUCAGAAGUGAAACGCCGUAGC
Molecule: ribosomal RNA, 66 nt
Filed under: Klebsiella aerogenes
Lineage: Bacteria; Pseudomonadati; Pseudomonadota; Gammaproteobacteria; Enterobacterales; Enterobacteriaceae
Also listed under: 6 other names
Source: RNAcentral